UGGGGAAUCUUCCGCAAUGGGCGAAAGCCUGACGGAGCAACGCCGCGUGAGUGAAGACGGCCUUCGGGUUGUAAAGCUCUGUUAUAUGGGACGAACGGGCGUAUGGUCAAUACCCAUACGCCGUGACGGUACCGUAAGAGAAAGCCACGGCUAACUACGUGCCAGCAGCCGCGGUAAUACGUAGGUGGCAAGCGUUGUCCGGAAUCAUUGGGCGUAAAGGGCGCGCAGGCGGUUCGGUAAGUCGGUCUUAAAAGUGCGGGGCUUAACCCCGUGAUGGGAUUGAAACUGCCGGACUGGAGUGUCGGAGAGGAAAGCAGAAUUCCUAGUGUAGCGGUGAA
RNAcentral lists this ribosomal RNA (338 nucleotides) under uncultured bacterium. RNAcentral's name for it is "partial 16S ribosomal RNA". It matches the Rfam family "Bacterial small subunit ribosomal RNA", at positions 355 to 685 of the family's 1533-position model. The record is from RNAcentral.